UCGUUUCAUCUUCUUUAUGUGCUUAUUGUGCUUCUGUUGCUCAUGAAACUUGCUCCUGGGUUCAUUUCUGGAGUGAAAGGGGCUACUUUCGGGUGCAUAGAGAGGGAGAGACAAGCCCUUCUCAAGUUUACAGAUGGCAUUAUUGAUGACUAUGGUCUUCUUUCAACCUGGGGAAGUGAAGAAGAGAAGAGGAAUUGCUGCACAUGGAGAGGAGUUGGAUGCAACAAUCGUACUGGUCAUGUUACUUCUCUUGAUCUGAGUGGCUUUAACCUUAGUCAGACGAUUGACUGGCUGCAAGUGCCUAACAGGCUCCCUCGCUUACAUGAAUUGCUGUUAAGUUCUUGUAGCCUUUCAAUUAUCGGUUCUCCAUCUCUUUCUCUUGUAAACCCAUCUAAAUCUCUUGCUAUCGUUGAUUUCUCUUUCAACGAUCUUUCCUCUUCAAUAUUCCAUUGGUUGGCCAACUUCGGUAACAGCCUUGUUGAUCUUGACCUCUCACAUAACCAAUUACAAGGUUCAAUUCCAGAUGCUUUCACCAACAUGACUUCUCUUAGGACCCUUAAUCUAUCCUCUAACCAAUUACAAGGCGAUUUGAGUUCAUUUGGGCAGAUGUGCAGUUUAAAUAAACUGUAUAUAAGCAGAAACAAUCUCACUGGAGAGCUGUCUCAGUUGUUUGGAUGCAUGGAGAACUCACUCGAAAUUCUACAACUAGAUGGAAAUAAGCUUCAUGGUUCAUUGCCUGACAUCACAAGAUUCACUUUCAUGAGAGAGCUGAAUCUCUCUUGGAAUCAACUGAAUGGAUCUUUACCAGAACGAUUUAGUCAACAUUCUGAACUUGUUUUGUUGCACUUGAAUGACAACCAACUCACUGGAUCACUUACGGAUGUUGCGAUGCUUUCAUCAUUGAGAGAGUUGGUGAUCAGUAACAAUCGAUUAGAUGGGAAUGUUUCUGAAAGUAUUGGAAGCCUAUUUCAGCUCGAGAAAUUGCAUGUUGGAGGGAAUUCCCUACAAGGUGUGAUGUCUGAAGCUCACUUUUCAAAUCUCUCCAAAUUAACGGUAUUGGAUCUAUCUGAUAACUCUCUAGUUUUGAAAUUUGAGUCUAAUUGGGCUCCAACUUUUCAAUUAGAUGACAUAUUUCUUUCGUCUUGUGAUUUGGGUCCUUCUUUCCCUCAAUGGCUUCGAAAUCAAAAUAAUUUCAUUAAUCUAGAUAUCUCGAACACUGGAAUUUCAGAUACAAUCCCUAAUUGGUUUUGGAACUUGUACAAUUCCAAGUUGGAAUUGUUAGACCUUUCUCACAACAAGAUGAGUGGAUUUUUGCCAAAUUUCUCAUUAAAAUAUUCCAAUCUCCACAGCAUAGAUUUGAGUUUCAACCAGUUUGAGGGUCCAUUACCACUUUUUUCAACAUAUACCGCAUCGACCUUGUUUCUCUCUAACAAUAAGUUUUCCGGUCCAGCUUCUUUUCGAUGUGAUAUUGGAAGUGGUAUCUUGAGGGUCCUUGACCUCUCAAAUAACCUGUUGACUGGAUGGAUUCCUGAUUGUUUAAGAGGUCUAGAUGUUCUGAAUUUGGCCAGCAACAACUUUUCAGGUAAAAUUCCCAGUUCCAUUGGAUCAAUGCGCAAUCUUCAAACAUUGAGUUUGCAUAAUAAUAGCUUUGUUGGAGAAUUACCUUUGUCUUUGAGGAAUUGUAGUUCUCUAGUAUUUUUAGACCUGAGCUCAAAUAAGUUGCGAGGACAAAUACCAGGUUGGAUAGGAGAAAGCAUGCCAUCUCUGAGAGUCCUUUCCCUACAAUCUAAUGGAUUCAAUGGAAGCAUACCGCCAAAUCUCUGUCACCUAUCAAAUAUUCUGAUCUUGGACCUAUCUCUAAACAAUAUCUCAGGAAUCAUUCCAAAGUGCCUUAAUAACCUCACUUCCAUGGUUCAAAAAACAGAGUCAGAAUAUUCCCUUGCAAAUAAUGCUGUUCUUAGUAGGUCUUACUGGACGCCCACUUACUGGAGCCCUGACCAGUCUACCACUUACGGGAUACUUCAAAGGUACCCUACCACUUACGGGAUGCGUGACAGGUCUUGCGGGUGCAUUGACAGCCCUUCCAGAUAUGUUGAAUAUCAGAAUGAGAUCAGGGUUGGAUGGAAAGGAAGAGCGGAUGAUUAUCGAAGCACACUAGGACUUUUGAGGAUCAUUGAUUUUUCAGGAAAUAAAUUACAAGGUGAAAUUCCAGAAGAAAUAACAGGACUCUUAUUGUUGCUUGCACUGAAUUUAUCCGGAAAUAAUUUGACUGGAGAAAUCCCUCAAAAGAUUGGGCAGUUGAACAAGUUGGAAUCACUUGAUUUGUCAGGAAACCAAUUAUCAGGAGUGAUUCCUAACACAAUGGCUGAUCUAAAUUUUCUGGCUUUCUUGAACCUCUCCAACAAUCACUUGUCGGGGAGGAUUCCGGUAAGCACUCAGCUGCAAGGCUUUAAUGCCUCACAAUUUACCGGUAACCUUGCAUUGUGCGGGCAGCCACUCUUACAGAAAUGCCCUGGAGAUGAGACGAAUCAAAGUCAACCUGCUAAUGAUGACAACCGAGGCAAAGAAGUCGUCGCUGAUGAAUUCAUGAAAUGGUUUUGUACUGCUAUGGGAAUUGGUUUUAGUGUAUUCUUUUGGGGAGUUUCAGGUGCUUUACUGCUAAAACGAUCCUGGAGACAUGCCUAUUUCCGGUUCUUGGAUGAAUCAUGGGACUGGCUCUAUGUGAAGGUAGCAGUGCGCAAGGCACGACUUCAACGAGAAUUUCAGAGGCUGCGAGAACACGUUCUUGCUUAGAAGUAUUGCAAGGUAAUAUGGUUAUUCACAUAUCUUUUCCAUUCUUUUUAUAUUGAAGACUAAUGGUUCAUUUUAUUCCAGGAGCUGCAGCUGGGUGCAUAACAGGUCCUCUUUGUCCAAUGAGUUCGUAUUGUUUGUGCACGUGUCUACUACUACUACUAGUUUGAAAUAUGGUUCCAUUGGAGAACUCUUUGUAAUACUGCUGCUGGGUUUUAUGUGAAACUAUGAAAGUGAUUAUGUAAUAUAUUAGGGAAUCUCAAAGUUGGUUUUAAUGUGAAUUUCAUUUGGAAUGUUUUUGCAAAUUUUUAGUUAUUUACUUAACAGUGUGAAGAUGGAACAUAUUCAUUCUGCACAUCAAAAAAUUAUGCCAGUACUUGCUUAUUUUGCUACAGAAUUUGAUUAAAAACACAUGUAAUUUACAUUUUUAUUUUAUCUGCUUUUGUUGAAUUAUUGGCAUUAAUUAAAUCAAGCAAUUAGCACGAAUUGAAAUUGAUGUUAAUUCAAACCUAUACAUAUAAUCACCGGAGGAAAUAAAAUUUCAGAGAAAUUUCUUCGAAAAUUAGUUCAAAAGGUAUAAAUGUGUCCAUGGUGAUUGUUGAAAAGUAUGCCCAUACAUAUAAGAAAGGAAGAAGAAAAAAUGGGGUUGAGUUACAGCCAUUGACGAGUUCCUGCACAUUGUGAGAAGAACAACGGUGCUUUCACUUUCUUCUUUGUUUUAGUCAUUUAAAUAUUUUUUCAGUCACUUAAUUUGUUUUUUCAUUUUGAUCUUUCCAUAUCGAGCUUAUAUGGAAUUGGAUUUAAUAAUUUAUUUUGGUUAAUUUAAUUUGUAUGAGUUUAUGGUAAUGUCAAAAAAGUAAUUCAGUGUUAAAUUAAUGUUUAAUUUGGCAAAACUAUAUUCAAUUUUAUUGAUUAAAACUUUAGGUGCCAAAAUUGAGGCUAAAAACAAUUAAGCCUCGUUUUCUUUUUCUUUUUUUUCAUUGUAGUUUAGGCAUGUUUUGAAGUUUUUGGGUCCCUCAAGUUUUAAUUUUUUCAGCUUUUAUCCCUUGUUUUAAGGUCUUUACAUUUUAGCUCAAAAAUUAAUUCCCUUGUUUUCAUUUGGUCCACAAUAGCCUCUGUUUGAGACGAGAGAAGGGAACAAAGGGGAAGGAAAAAUUUGAGAACAGAGGGGAAGGGAGUAGAGGAGAUGAGCUAACGGGAAUUUGGUGCAGGUAGAAGCCAUCGUUUGACAAAAGAAAGGACAGAAGAAGGGGCUGAGAAAGUUUUGUGUUAAUUACAGUGUCGGUAGGAGAGAGGAGAACAUGGAAAAGCAAUUGUAAAUUGCUUUUCAAAAACUGAGGUCGAACCUUAGUUUUUGAGUGGGACCAUAUGAAAUAAAACUGUGGUUCAGUUUAACCAAACAUUUCAAUAUUGCUGUUAUUUUUAUCGGCAGCCGCAGUGCCAAACGGGUACUUAAAGAAACAGUAAAUAGUUAGUAUAUUAUCAUGGGGUUGUGGAUGGGUUCGAUCAAAUUAUUUAUAAUUUAUAAACUGAAUAAAAAUAAUUAUACAUGCAGUUUUUCAAUGUAUCUUUGCAUAAAAAAAGUUUCUAAAAAGUUCCCAAAUACAUGUAAUUAAAUAAAUUAAGAAUUAUAUAUCUUAAUAAAUGAUAAAAAAAUAUUAUUAAUAUAUAAAAAUAAAACUAGAAAAUUUGAGGGCUAGAUACAGAUCAAAACAUUUAAUUUUGCAAGACAAUAUAUUUAUGCAAUUAUGUUUAUUGAAUUUAUUUAUUACAAAUAUUUUUUUAUUAAAUCAAACUAUAUUCAAAACAAGCACACAUAUUAUAUUGAUUAAAUAAAAUAAAAGUGAAAAAUACUAUGUAAGGCUACACGUAUUAGAAAUAUUAACUGAAAAUAAAUAUUUUUAAUUUUGAAAAAUAAAGUUCUUUAGUACAAAAGAUUAAAAAAAACUAUAGAUUAAUUAGAAUAAUCUUUUUAAAAAUUAAAUACGCAUAACACCUUUAAAAAAUAAUAUCUAAAAACAAUUAAAUAAGAAAAAAAAUCACAUAUGAGGGAUAUUAAUUAAAACAUAAAUUUAAAAAUUAUUUUUUUAAAAAAUAUAUUAAAAAACAUACCAGUAAAAAAAAGGAAUAUAAAAAAAUAACAACCUCAGUGUUGUGGCUUAACUCGUCAAACUUGUCAGUCGACCAUUAACUCAACCGGGUUAAUAAGUUUUUCCUUUUAAAUUUAUAUAAAACUUUAAAAAAAUAAAAAAAACAAAAAAAAAUGAGGGCUUAGAGCCAAGGCGAGCUAUAAUGAAGAGCCCAAGAGUGUUGACAAGCCUAGGCUUAUUUUAAUUUUUUAAAGGUCCUUCCUAAUUUUUUGAAAAGAACAAAUGAGCAGCAUGUCAGACAAUGUGUCGUCUACAAACCUGGAUUUCCACCACCAUUAUGGUGGUCAGAAAAUUAGGGCAAAAACAUUUUUUUUCAUAAAACCCAUUUUUUAGCCAUUUACACUCAAAAACACCUAACCAAUACCCUUAUAACAUCUAAAAACCAUCCUAUCAACUCUAAAUAUCCAAAAAAUAGCCAAAAACCCGAAAGCAAAUUGGUUUAGCUAUGGCUUUGCCGGCUUAGAUCUAUUUUUCAUGCAAUAUUAAAACUCCAAACAACCACCACGAAGUCCUUCUUAUCUUAAAAAAACUCGUGUGUCGUGACGUGCAUGAUGCCAAAUGACGGAUCUACUACUUGGAAUUGAAGGGGUUUAGGGUUUAAUCAUAAAGUUAUUAUUUGAAGGAGUCGACACCUAGUAUCAUGGUGACUAGAAAAUUUAUGGUAUGUGAGAACCUAAUUAAAGGGACUAGUUGUGCACGAGGAAAACAUGUCACCCCUAGUGCAUCAUACUUAAGGUAAGUUGCAUUCUUUAUUUAUUGUUUUUUUUCUAGGUUAUAUUUCUAUCAAUUAGUUUUAUCUAACGUUUAAAGCAAUUCUCCUUUCAUGAGGAAGUCUUUAUCUUAUUGGGUUAAAUCCUAACCGUUCUAAAAUCCAAAUUUGAUAUCACAUUUAUUUUGUAUUUUGUAUCUUUAACACUUGAAGGUAUACUUCAAAAAUAUAGUUUUAUACUCUAAAUAUUAAAGUCUACAACUAAAUCCUAACACUCUGGAUACGAAUUAAACAAAUUAAUUGCUGUGAGAUUUUUGGUAUUUUAUUCUAAUCCUAAAAUAUAAUCAUAAACUAAUUACAAUAUAUAUUUUGUAUUUUUAAAACAUAAUAAAAUGUUAUUUUAUCUUUUAGAAAAUAUGCAUGAAAAAAAAGCUUUUAGGAUUUGGCCAUAUGCUUGAAAAUAAAAUAUAUUUUUGGUUUUUUUUAAGAUUUUUUUUAUUUUUUUUAACUUUAAAUAAAACUAAGUAUUUUUAAUAUGGAGUUUGUAUUUGCUUAAUGUUUUCCUCCUUACUAUAUGUGCUGAAUUUAUAUUUCUGCUUAAACAACAUACAUAACAAAUGCAAUUAAAAAGAAAUAAAGUGGAACCAUGAAGGGUAUAGCUCAACUAGUCAGAUCUUAGGUUUUCUCUCUAGAGGUCACCAGUUCGAGUCUUACAAAUCUCAGGACCAUUGAAGGCUUACAUGAUCGUUAACUUCAGGAUCCACGAGAUCGAGUGCACACAAGCUGGCUCAGACAUCCAUGUUAAUAAAAAAAACAAAAAACAAAGUGGACAAGAAAAACCUGAAUAAUAGAUUUAACUUCCAAAUUAUAAAAAGAUCAAGUUGACUAUAAUGUCCCACUCCAGAAUAUAAGUUGACCAAGAUGACCAAAUUCUCAUUGCUCUCAAUUAUUACUUCCAUCUCAAUUAUUACUUCCAUACCCACUUCGAUAUUAUCUGUUUUACGUGAUCAUGCUGCUGAUAAAGCACGACAAGUCGUUUCAUCAUCUUUAUGUGCUUAUUGUGCUUCUGUUGCUCAUGAAACUUGCACCUGGGUUCAUUUCUGAAGUGAAAGGGGCUACUUUCGGGUGCAUAGAGAGGGAGAGACAAGCCCUUCUCAAGUUUAAAGAAGACCUUAUUGAUGGCUCUGGUCUUCUUUCAACCUGGGGAAGUGAAGAAGAGAAGAGGGAUUGCUGCAAAUGGAGAGGA
Molecule: long non-coding RNA, 6895 nt
Filed under: Populus tremula
Lineage: Eukaryota; Viridiplantae; Streptophyta; Magnoliopsida; Malpighiales; Salicaceae
Description: long non-coding RNA (PTRE_LNC003073)
Source: RNAcentral